UAGGGAAUCUUCCACAAUGGACGCAAGUCUGAUGGAGCAACGCCGCGUGAGUGAAGAAGGUCUUCGGAUCGUAAAGCUCUGUUGUUGGUGAAGAAGGAUAGAGGCAGUAACUGGUCUUUAUUUGACGGUAAUCAACCAGAAAGUCACGGCUAACUACGUGCCAGCAGCCGCGGUAAUACGUAGGUGGCAAGCGUUGUCCGGAUUUAUUGGGCGUAAAGCGAGCGCAGGCGGAAUGAUAAGUCUGAUGUGAAAGCCCACGGCUCAACCGUGGAACUGCAUCGGAAACUGUCAUUCUUGAGUGCAGAAGAGGAGAGUGGAACUCCAUGUGUAGCGGUGGAAUGCGUAGAUAUAUGGAAGAACACCAGUGGCGAAGGCGGCUCUCUGGUCUGCAACUGACGCUGAGGCUCGAAAGCAUGGGUAGCGAACAGGAUUA
RNAcentral lists this ribosomal RNA (433 nucleotides) under uncultured bacterium. Its description in RNAcentral is "partial 16S ribosomal RNA". It matches the Rfam family "Bacterial small subunit ribosomal RNA", at positions 355 to 780 of the family's 1533-position model. The record is from RNAcentral.